CAGCAGCCGCGGUAAUACCGGCGGCCCGAGUGGCGGUCACUCUUAUUGGGCUUAAAGCGUCCGUAGCCGGGUUGGGAAGUCCUCCGGGAAAUCUGGCCGCUUAACGGUCAGAAUGCCGGAGGAUACUCCCAGCCUAGGGGGCGGGAGAGGCCGAGGGGAUUCCCGGGGUAGGGGUGAAAUCCUAUAAUCCCGGGAGGACCACCUGUGGCGAAGGCGCUCGGCUGGAACGCGUCCGACGGUGAGGGACGAAGGCCAGGGGAGCAAACCGGAUUAGAUACCCGGGUAGUCCUGGCGGUAAACGAUGCGGACUUUGUGUCGGACAAGCUAUGAGCUUGUCCGGUGCCGGAGGGAAACCGUUAAGUCCGCCGCCUGGGGAGUACGGCCGCAAGGCUGAAACUUAAAGGAAUUGGCGGG
RNAcentral lists this ribosomal RNA (414 nucleotides) under uncultured microorganism. RNAcentral describes it as "bacterial SSU rRNA". It matches the Rfam family "Archaeal small subunit ribosomal RNA", at positions 459 to 872 of the family's 1478-position model. The record is from RNAcentral.